CAAGCACAUGCUACGGCACAGAGAAGUCAGACAUUUUGAUAUCUGGAAGAGUAUGUUGCCCAGCACAUCAAACCCGGAACAUGGUCAGAGUACUCAAGCCUUGAUAUAGAGGACCUUCCUGCACAAAAUUAUGGCAGUAAUGACUGUGAUAUAUUCAUGUUAAUGUUAUGGUCACAGAUUUGUGCAUUAUACCAACGAAGGCCCCCAGAUGGCCAACGGAUCUCUGCAAUCAAUCUUCCGCAUCUCCAGGAAUAGGACAUUUGAGAUUGACAUGGAACCUCAGACCUCUUUGAUCCUUGCCAGUAAAGGUGCAGUCAAGUCCUCUACCCGGGGAGUGGUCAGUCCCAUCUUUCAGGCACGCAUCAAUAUUUAAUUGUCAUCAAGGUAUGAGCUGAUGACAAACACUCACUGCCAGUCAUCAGACAAAUCUACAUCGAGUGCCCACUUGACACUUCUUUCUCUCAGAAUCAUGUGGCUGUAACAAUAUUUGUACAAUCUGAAAACAACAAAAAUAAAUCUGAAAGCUACCAAAUGUUGAUAGAUAAUUGUUUUAUGAUACUAUCCUUGUUCAUAGAGGAUAAUAUUGGACAUUAGCUCAUUUAUAAUUUACGCUGUAUGUUGACAGUGGGCACAUUACAUUUUGAGGACUGUCUUCAUUGAAGCUGUUCUUCAGGAUGGGGACUGUGUGGUCCGUGCGCUGGCUCUUACCUGCACCCAUUUUUGGGUUAUAGUCAGACAAGAGACGUUCCGCAAUGAAGCACACCUUCACUGCCUAGACAGUGAGUGAUACUAUACAGAUAUAUUUGAAUAUUUUGUUUUUUUUUGUUAACAGGUGUCAUGACCGGGAGUCUGUACUCCCCUGAAUUUAGGAACAAAUUCGGAAUCCCCUAUUUCAUUGACACCUGUGUCCAAUGUCAUACUGAUUAUAAAGACACAAAAGGUUUUCGGGGACGGGGAAAGAGAGGAGAACUUUUCAGUUUUCAGUCCGAUGGUGACAAUCUGAGAGAAUGCUUCUCUAUGGACUGGUUUUGGGCUUCUGGGGGAACUGAUUGAAAAAUAAAUCCAUUUGCUUUUGA
Phyllopteryx taeniolatus (common seadragon) is the source of this 1076-nucleotide long non-coding RNA. RefSeq lists it as uncharacterized. The transcript is spliced from 5 exons. NCBI's taxonomy places the organism in Eukaryota, Metazoa, Chordata, Actinopteri, Syngnathiformes, Syngnathidae. The record is from RefSeq and is a predicted model, not a curated record.